Cyprinodon variegatus (sheepshead minnow) is the source of this 388-nucleotide long non-coding RNA. RefSeq lists it as uncharacterized. Lineage: Eukaryota; Metazoa; Chordata; Actinopteri; Cyprinodontiformes; Cyprinodontidae. The transcript has 3 exons. The record is from RefSeq and is a predicted model, not a curated record.
UUGAAACCUGGGAAGCAAGAGUAAAGGAAGGCCAAGAAAACUGAAGAAUUUCACCUGCGAACAGACAAAGAUGUCAAAUAUCUCACAACAUGAUUGGACAUACACGAUGGAUAGAAUCUUUCAGAAGCUGGAUGACACUCAGUACAAGGAAAUGGUGGAUUUUUUUGAUGAGCAACCUGAAUUUACCUCACCGGCCAAACUCACUGCCAAAUUUAAGAAGGAGCUUCCGGAAAAACUAAAUCAGCUGUUUGGCAUAGAUCGAUCCAUCAACCUGGUCAACGAAGCAAUGAAUAUGAUACCGAGGAAUGACCCUGGUGUCCAGGACCUACUGCGUCCAUUUGUGGUGAAACUACGACCACAGGGUCUGAGAAUGAGGAGCCGACCUGAG